AAAGAAAAUAACAAUGAUUCCCCUAGUAACGGCGAGCGAAGAGGGAAUAGCUCAAAUUUUAAAUCUGUUGGGUCUUACCUAACCGAGUUGUAAUUUGAAGAAACGUUUUCUGCGUGUUUGAUUUAGCCCAAAUCCUUUGGGAUAAGGUAUCAUGGAGGGUGAGAAUCCCGUCCGGCCUAAUCAAAUGUGCUUUACGAUACGUUUUCUAAGAGUCGAGUUGUUUGGGAUUGCAGCUCAAAAUGGGAGGUAAAUUUCUCCUAAGGCUAAAUAUAGGCGAGAGACCGAUAGCGAACAAGUACCGUGAGGGAAAGAUGAAAAGAACUUUGAAAAGAGAGUUAAACAGUACGUGAAAUUGUUGAAAGGGAAACGAUUAAAGUCAGUCGUACUAACGGGGAAUCAACCUUUUGAGGGUGGAAUUGUGGGAUUCAAAGUGCCUUUGUUUUUCACAACCUGCUUUUUUUGGGUGUACUUUCUCGUAUUGUAGGUCAGCAUCGGUUUCGACCGUUAUAAAAUGACUGGAGGAAUGUAGCUUUGAUCUCGUAUUGAAGUGUUAUAGCCUUUGGUAGAUGUAACGGAUGGGAUCGAGGAUUGCAAUGAAUACCCUCAUGGGCUAUCCGCCUGGCCUCUGACAUGUCACUCUGGUGCCGAAAGCGUGCUUAUGGUAUUAUAGUGUACGGUCAAAAGGUUAGAACGGAUUAAAUU
Molecule: ribosomal RNA, 702 nt
Filed under: uncultured Glomeromycotina
Lineage: Eukaryota; Fungi; Glomeromycota
Description: eukaryotic LSU rRNA
Rfam family: Eukaryotic large subunit ribosomal RNA
Source: RNAcentral